AUACAUUGUCAUUAAACACAAAUAAAAUUAUUAAAAUGUGUAAAGUUUCAAGACGCACGAAUGCGUUUAUUAUUCUCGGUUCUUUCGCUGUGGCUGUCCCUGUUAUUAUUUUCAUCUUUCAAGAUCAUUUUAGGAGCCGUGCAAUUUAUAAAUAUGUUAUAUCAUAUGGAAUCAUAUUGCUGUGGCCGAUUCUUCUGGUACCAACCAUUUAUUUCAUCUAUAAGAAAAAGAGAUAUAUCAGAUUUUUGGUGCCAUAUGCUUUCAUAUGGUUAGUUCUAAGUUCUUUAAUAUUUAUUUUUUUCCUACUUAAUAUGUUCCAAGUGUUGGAUUACAUCUACUUUUACUUAGAUUUUAGAACGCUCUGCAUCAUAAUGUUUGCAGGUGUUUUUUCAGGGUUUAUGACACCAGUUUCUUUUUAUUGUUAUUACAAAAGAAAAAUGUUGGCUGCGGUUGAAUGAUUUCUCCAACAGCAAUGAAGUGUAAAAUUUAAAGUAAAAAAAUUUUAAAUUUGGACCCAAGAGAAUAGGAAAAAAAGGCUUAAAACGUGAAAAGAAUCCUGUACCAAAUGAAAUUUAAUAAACUUACUUAUAUAAAAAUGUUA
This is a long non-coding RNA of Drosophila subpulchrella, 601 nucleotides long. RefSeq lists it as uncharacterized. NCBI's taxonomy places the organism in Eukaryota, Metazoa, Arthropoda, Insecta, Diptera, Drosophilidae. The record is from RefSeq and is a predicted model, not a curated record. The transcript has 3 exons.